GCGAGAUUAUCUCCGUCGUAAGAAGAGAAGAACGCGAGCUGUCGUGUAGUGUAGAGUUGUAGUUCGACUAGCAACAAGACAAAGGGCCGCGAGUUGGUAGUGUAGUCUAUACUACUAUUAUCUAUACUACUAUUAAAAGAUCAAACAUGACUUCCCCUACGUGCACCCCAAAAAGUGCACACAGGAUAACCCCCACGUUCGAUCAGACCCGUUAAGUUCCAUCCAACUGUCCACGUUACAUCGACCAUACUACAAUCAGAUCUACGGCUCAAAACAAAUGUUCUGCCGGCAGACUCCCCGCUCAGGAUGCUAGACAACGCAACGAUAGGAGCCCACGAAAUUAAACAACACGUCCGAGAUCAACGCCGCCACCAACAGCUAAAAGGGAAAAAAAAGAAAAACACCGCCACCAGGCCACGAACGUGCCCUAGCAGGUGCCAUCUCGAGGAAACCUGGUGCCGUCCCGACGACCUGCCCUAGAUCUGAUGUCCAUAACGUCCUCGACUCGCUGGCCGUCGUCUCGAGGACACCUCGGGCAAUCCCGACGCGCCGCCCUAGCUUCGUUGUCCACACCGUCCUCGCCCUAGUGGCCGCACCAUCUCAAGGCCAUUGGUCAACAUCGGAGUACUUCCAGCCUGCCACUGCAAGGUUAGAUCAUUUCAAUGUCCACAUCUUAUGAUGAGAAAGAAAAUACAGGAAAUUUCACCAUUACACUGCUGAUCUAUAAUUUGUUACCAUCAUGUGUGUACAAAUUUAAUACCUACAGGACACCAUGAUCUAUAAUGGGGUAGUGGGGUACGGACUUCAUUUCAGGACCGCAAACGAACAGCAAUUCAAGUAAAUAUAUAUAUCACCAACGUCUAACCUACUUAGACUUUGUAAAUCAUGAAGAUCUCAUUUCUCACAGGUCAAAAAGCAGAUCCAAAAAAAGUGAGGAGACAAAGGAAGAGGGAGAGGUAUGCACGAUAUUAAAAAGGAGACGUGAGGCAAGGGAUCAUAAGAAAACUACAUAUGCUAUUCCAAAUGGAAAGCGCAUUCCAUAACACCCGUGGGCAUACCGCCUGGUUUGUCCAUUUUCUCUAUUCUUUAUGAUACAUAUGAUGAAUCACAAGUAUAAUCAUAUUGAUGAUCCAUUAUUUCUGACAGAAGAUUUUCACACUGCAGAGAAGCCCACGGCGCACUCUGCUGUCACCCAGCUAUGAUACACACCAGCGGCGGAAGGUGAUGUUUUUCUAACCAAACAUAAUAGCUUCAUUUAUGUGUGAACAACUGACAUUGUACAGACAAUUGUGAUCCUGGCAUACCUGUUGAUGUGAUGAUGUCUGAUGAGACUCCAUUCCAUGGUCCAGAUUCAUUAAAAACACCCCACAGUGCCGUUUCUAACAAGGAAAAUGUCAAUAAUGUUGACUCUGGCAUUUAGUCUUCCCAUCGUACUGGGUUAUGAGCGCCACUUCAAGCCUAGAAUUGCAGCUUGUCAAAUGGUAAACUGUUGCUCGCAUGGCAUGAGCAAAAUAAAGAAGAAAAACAAUUGUUGCUCAUAUUGUGCAUCGGAGCUAAUUUGCGUCUAUAUCAUACAGAAGAAAAACAACUGUUGCACAUAUUGUAGCUAAUUCACACUUAUAUUUACAGAAGAAAAGCAAGCACUUCAGAGGGAGAGAGAUUUAUGAAUUUCAGUACAAUUGUUCUUGAUAACUAGAUCUGUUAUAGCAACUUGUUCUGACAUCAAAUGCAACACCUUUGACAUCGAUAAUUUGCUCAUGUCAUGGAUCUUUUUUACAUUGCAAUUCUUCAGAUUGUAUUAGUUCAGCACUAUUCUGUGCUGCAAUGGAGAUAUAGCUUAUAGACGAUCAAUAUAUCAGCCAUAGGACCACAAUGCUUUUCACAAAGCUGUGACAUUCUCUACCAAUGUGAAAUACUUGUAAUGAAAACUGCAAGCAUCUAUGGCAUUUGCGUAAUGUAUAGUUUUUUUGAGCAUGUAAAGUUACUUCCAUUCUGACUGAAGUUAAAAUUCUUGCUUAUUGUUGGGGACAGAGUGUGAAGCAGGUUGGUUUAUUAAGAGCAGGUUGAUACAUGCAAGGACAGAAUUGUCGCUGCCCUGGACACACUAUGGCCUACAUCUUCAUGGGAGAGAAGUGCUGCUUCUGGGCAGGAAGCAGAUACAGUUUUUCUUGGUGGGUGUAGUUUUGGAACAGCCAUGUCUUCUCUAAUUGAGUACUUGAGUUCGGAGUAUGGUUAUACUUUUGCUUAGGAUAAGUUAACACGUCUCUUUCUACGAUUUUUAAAUGCUUCUUGUCAGGAAGGCAAUUAUGUUUGUAAGGAUAGUGUAUUUUGCAAAGACUUUUGUACUUGCUAUUUUUAUUCUUAAAUAAAAACAGCAGGGUAAUUGCUUUUCUUACUGGUGCUCCUGAUUAUGAAGAUGGUCAACUAGACACUAAGAGAUAUGGUGAGCAAUAUGCUAGCAAAGAGGAAGAUGUUGACCUCAUGUUGCUCCCUGAGCAGAUACCUUCCUAUAGAGAUCUGGUAAGCUUGUGCUUCUUUUGCAGUAAAAAAAAUCUAUCCAUUAGUGAAAUUUUGAAACAAGCCACUGUGGUGCUGUUGCUGUUCAAGCAGGACUAUGUGUAAACAUAUUUGCAGGAAUAUGUGUAAACAUAUUUGCAGGCGAAUGCUAUCCUGAGAUUGACUAACAAUUGCUAUCCUGAGAUUGACUGAACUUCAGUACAUUACUACUGUUUUGACUUGAAGAUGUCCUCGAAUGCCAAAUUGCUCUGCAGACUUUGAACCCCUUUCAUUUUCUUUCAUGUAAAGUUCUUUUUAUUAAAUGGCAGUGGAUGUUGAGUUAUCUAUGCUAGCAAUGCGAUGUUAGAGAGAGGCGUGUGGAACCGCAUCAGGGAGGGAAGGGAACCAAAUCUAGCACCGUACCAAAUCGAAACGAGGAGAGGGAGGAAAAGGAAGACCUUCCAUGACGGCACGACAUCCCAAGAAGAAGAAGCAUCCUCCCCCUACAUCGAGCUGAGUUGGUGAUGCUUAAUGGCGUCGGAGCGGGGGCAGGGGCGGCGGCGUCCCGAGCUCCAUGGCCCUUCACAACGGCGCGACUCCGCUCCAUCUGGCGCCGACUGAGCCUGAGGUGCUCGCGGUUGUGGGACGCCAUGGAGCUCUAGGUCGAAGCGUCCUCCCCACGUACACGCAGUGGAUCUCGGUCCGCUCCGAGAUGCCCGCUCCCGCAUCACAUCCAGCAGCUCGUAGCUUGAUCUGCGCCGGGGCACGGAGGCGGCAUAGUCGAUUUAUGGAACACCGGCGGGGUUGGCGGCGAGGCGAGGCAAGGCCAUGGCGGGGAAAGGAGGCGGCGGGGCAGGAGACGGAGUGCGCCGGCGGGCUGGAGUCGAGGCGGCGUGCGAAGGAGAGGAUGUAGCGGGGAGAGCAGGCGGCGAGGAAAGCAAAGUGUCUG
RNAcentral lists this long non-coding RNA (3445 nucleotides) under Triticum aestivum (bread wheat). RNAcentral describes it as "long non-coding RNA (TAES_LNC002124)". Lineage: Eukaryota; Viridiplantae; Streptophyta; Magnoliopsida; Poales; Poaceae. The record is from RNAcentral.